RNAcentral lists this ribosomal RNA (498 nucleotides) under uncultured bacterium. Its description in RNAcentral is "partial 16S ribosomal RNA". It matches the Rfam family "Bacterial small subunit ribosomal RNA", at positions 28 to 507 of the family's 1533-position model. The record is from RNAcentral.
GACGAACGCUGGCGGCGUGCCUAAUACAUGCAAGUCGAACGAGAGCAACCGGUGCUUGCACUGGUCAAUCUAGUGGCAAACGGGUGAGUAACACGUGGGUAACCUGCCCAUCAGAGGGGGAUAACAUCCGGAAACGGAUGCUAAAACCGCAUAGGUCUUCGAACCGCAUGGUUUGAAGAGGAAAAGAGGCGCAAGCUUCUGCUGAUGGAUGGACCCGCGGUGCAUUAGCUAGUUGGUGAGGUAACGGCUCACCAAGGCCGUGAUGCAUAGCCGACCUGAGAGGGUGAUCGGCCACAUUGGGACUGAGACACGGCCCAAACUCCUACGGGAGGCAGCAGUAGGGAAUCUUCCGCAAUGGACGCAAGUCUGACGGAGCAACGCCGCGUGAGUGAAGAAGGUUUUCGGAUCGUAAAACUCUGUUGUUAGAGAAGAACAAGUGCUAGAGUAACUGUUAGCGCCUUGACGGUAUCUAACCAGAAAGCCACGGCUAACUACGUG